AUUGAACGCUGGCGGCGUGCUUAACACAUGCAAGUCGUGCGAGAAAGGGGACUUCGGUCCCUGAGUAGAGCGGCGCACGGGUGAGUAACGCGUGGAUUAUCUACCCAGAUAUUCGGGAUAACGGUGGGAAACUGCCGCUAAUACCGGAUACGCUCCAAUUUCGGUUGGGGGAAAGGCGGCCUCUGCUUGCAAGCUGUCGUAUCUGGAUGAGUCCGCGUCCCAUUAGCUUGUUGGCGGGGUAAAGGCCCACCAAGGCUACGAUGGGUAGCUGGUCUGAGAGGAGGAACAGCGACGCUGAAGCCGGAACGCGGUCCAGACUCCCGCGGGAGGCAGCAGGAGGGAAUAUGGCGCAAUGGGGGGAACCCUGGCGUAGCGACGCCGUGUGAGGGAAGAAGGCUUUCGGGUCGUAAACCUCUGUCGGGAGGGAAGAACCUUCCAGGUCUGAAUAAGGCCUGGAGCUGACGGUACCUCCAAAGGAAGCACCGGCUAACUCCGUGCCAGCCGCCGCAGUAA
RNAcentral lists this ribosomal RNA (513 nucleotides) under uncultured bacterium. RNAcentral describes it as "partial 16S ribosomal RNA". It matches the Rfam family "Bacterial small subunit ribosomal RNA", at positions 28 to 523 of the family's 1533-position model. The record is from RNAcentral.